AAUGAGUUUUUUGUUUCACAUGUUGAAAAUCUGAGACCGUUAAAAUUAACACUGUGGUGAGUUACUAACUUUAAUACUUUAUAUAAUAAGAUAAAGCAAAUAGAGAUUUAGCAAAACCAAAAACAAAACUCAAAAAUCAUAUGAAAAACCAAAUCUUAAAAUCCCAAACUCCUAUUUAGGCCGAUCUUAAGCAGAAGAAGAUAAGGAAGGAUCGAAGAUUUGACCAGCGAACAAAACAGUUCCGGUUUUGUCUUCUCUAAUAAAG
RNAcentral lists this small RNA (265 nucleotides) under Arabidopsis thaliana (thale cress). RNAcentral describes it as "ATSL064110". Lineage: Eukaryota; Viridiplantae; Streptophyta; Magnoliopsida; Brassicales; Brassicaceae. The record is from RNAcentral.